Molecule: long non-coding RNA, 3523 nt
Filed under: Sus scrofa (pig)
Lineage: Eukaryota; Metazoa; Chordata; Mammalia; Artiodactyla; Suidae
Description: lncRNA (ENSSSCG00000055562.1)
Source: RNAcentral
UGCCACAUGACUUACUGAGUGCCUACUGUUUGUCAAGAACUUGAAACACUAGAGUGCAUGUCUUUUAGGAAGUUAUCUUUCAACUUGUAUCGUUUCACAGAUACUACAUAAUGAUGAUAAUGAUGAGUACCGACCAUUUAAAUUCCAUAAACUUCUUUUAUAUUGUGACUUUUUCAGCAUAAUAUAAAUGUAUAUUAUGAAUAGUAGUGUGGUAAUGAUUAGAGCUGCUAUACUUUAAAGUAAGUUGAGUAAUGUUGAGUAAAAUGAAAGCAAAAACCCUGUCACAACAGCAGCAAAACAAAACCAAAACUGGCAAAUAAUCCAAGGUCUGAUGAGAAAGAGAAGUUGGAAUGAAGAUACUUUGUCAGUUCUAAUUAUCCUAAUUUGAGAAACCAAAGAGGCCCACCAGAUGUUACUACAUGAGUUAAUUCUGUCUUCAGCAUUAAAAGUAAUUAACUUACAUGCUAACACUUGUACAAUUUCUUAGACUGGAAUUAAAUUCACAUGUUACCGCUUUCUGUCAGGCUGUCUUGAAACAAAAGCCCUUAUUAGAAUGAUGUAAAUUCCUCGUAAAUGAGAAGAUUCUGGUUAUCGACUCAUAGAUUGACUAACCUUAGAGGAGACUGUUUAGGCCAGGGUUUAGGGUUCAUUUGUGGCAAAGAGUGGGGCCUUAAACCUUGGUUAUCCUGGUUCCUUACUUGGCGGCAUGGCUGCUGCUCAUUGAUUCCCUGGACUCAUUUCUUUGGUCUAUUCAACUCCUGUAGAGCUCUGUAAAGGGAAGGUAACCUGAGGCAGUGAUGCUGUGGCUGUAUUUGCCAUCUACUGGUUACUUUAUUGAAUGUAAUAUGGCCACUAACAUAUUAUUGAAUGCCAGGCAGUUGUCUUUAAGUGCUUCACAUAUAUAUCUGGCUUUUAAAUGCUUACCUCAAGUCUUUGUUAAGUUUAUUCAAGUUUACGAGCAUCUUGAAGCCCAGGGUGGUCAAAGGGUCUGGAAAUACCCAGUGGCCUGAGAUUUGAUUGUAGGCCACCCACAUCAGAAGCUAGGCUUGUAACUUGACUGUGGAGCAAAAAUAUUUUAUGUUUUAGAUUUUCCUGUACACAUUUUUGUGUCUUUGACCUAAUCUUGCUUAAUCUUGACUUUAUAAUUCAUAAAAGAUGAAAAUAAAUCUCAGUUCUGUUUCCAUCAUGGAGUUUUCAUUGGUUUUAUAUAUAUAUAUGUAUGUAUGUAUUUUGGCUGCAACUGCACCAUGCAGAACUUCCAGGCCAGGGAUCAAACCCAUGCCACAACAAUAACCCAAACCACAGCAGUGACAAUGCCUAUUCCUUAAACUCUAGGCCACCAGGGAAUAUCUGUGACAAAUUUUAAUGUUCAAAAAAUAUUUGGAAACUGUAAAAUACUACAAAGUGUGUUGAUUAUUAUUAUUACUUGGCACUAUUGAAAGCCCCCUUAUUUACUGUUGUUCUUUUUGGCCUUGUGACAAUAAUAUAUUUCAACCUUUUUUCCAGCGUUUCUGACUAUUGCUUUUGUUUUUUCUGGCACAAUUUUCUUUUAGUACCUACAGAAAAAGGGGGUAAAAGCCCAGAUCCUAUCUUUGACUCUGGAGAAUUUAGAUGUUGCCUAGUCAGACUUCAUCUUUGAGAUGAGGAAGUAAAUUUUGAGCAACUGAUGCCCUGGGUUACUUUUAUCAGAGAUGAUAAAUGUUCAUGGAUUCUGUUACCUUGUCUAAAGUCCUUCCAGUGCAAAUGCUGGGCUGAUUUAGUGUGGGCAUUUCUACAUCUUAUUUUUACCUCAAAGUGUUUCAGAUUUGAAAAUUAGUAAUUAAAAUAUAUCAAUUUUAAAUGUAAAUAUUUUAAGACUAGUUCUGUAUAAGAUUGCGAGUAGCAACAUCCGUUAAAAGCAGAAAAUGGAAAAGAUUUAACAAAUUGAUUCCAUAAUAAAAAGAUAUUCAGUGUCCGGGCAGAAUAACAGAAACAUCUGUUUUAUGUCUUUGGGGGAGGGAAAAAAACCUAAUUAGUUUGGGACUGAUUCAGAUAGAUGUCAUUUUAAAUUACUUUCUUCUGUUUACCAAAAUAAUACAAUUGGAUGGAGUAACCACAAUAAAGAAGAUAGGUUUAAAACAGAUGUCUGAUAAGACAUUCACACUACGAAAAACUAUAUAUGAAACUGCCUUCUAGGCAGAUUUAUGCAGAACUAAAUGUUGGGUCAUUUCUCAAGAAAAACAAACCUUGAUGGGAGUGCACAAAGGUAGCACAGUUUUCAUUUUUAAUCAAUAAAGAAUAUCAGUUGAUCAAGCUAGGCUGAAUAAUGUGGUUUGUAUUUGAAGGGGGAAGAGGUAGAUGGUGAAGGGAAUUGAUUAAUCAGUCCACUAUAGAAACCGACACAAAUCUUUUUUUUUUUUCAAAUUUUAAUAUUUUUCUUAUUUGCUCUAUCUUGAUUUCACUUUGGAUUGUGGAUGUACUUCUGUCUACCUCUUAUAUGCAUUUACACAUACACACAUUUUCUUAGUUAAGCCAUAAUACAUAAAUAAGCUUGCAAGUAGUAGCAUCAAUAUAUUCAUGAGUCUAAUCUAGAAAUAUUUCCACUAAACUUAAUCAAUUCUUUGUCUCAGGGUUUUCUCUGAGUAAUGAAAAGAGGAUGGUUAGAAUGUUAGUCUGAGAUGGCAGCAACUGAUUCUCACCAAAGCAUAAAGGAAUUUUUAUUUGAAUUGAGUAUUUAAGGUAAAAGCAAAGAGCUAGUUUUAAACUCCAUUAGCUAACUGAGGAUCUUUGGGUGUUUUCUUAGUAAUAAAACUACCUUCAUAACCUAUAAAGAACAGAUACUAUAGAAAUUAUUUUGUAACUGAGUAUUUUUCUUUCCCUGAAGACUAUUUUAAGUCCUCAAAUACUCAUCCAUUCUUUGAAAAUAGUUCUUGUACAUCUACACACAGUGCAUAGGACAAGUAUUUUGUAGGAUGAAUAUACUCUUGUCUCACAGAAUUCUUGAUUCUUAAAGGAAUGUAGAUUAUGAUUGAGGUGAUUUGGGUUGUGGGAGGGGAACUCGUUUAAUAUACUUCAUGAAUGUGUGUAGAGACAGUGAAUCUCAUCCUGUGUGGGUGGUGUAACUGAGUAGGGUCCUGUGGGGCUCCUGCGCACAAAAGCCUCUCUGGGUUCCCCAUUUCUUGUUUUUAGGAAAUGGGCCUCAUUCAGCCACUGUAGCCUUCCCUGAGUCCCAAGGAGGUUCAGACAGUUGCUGAUCAGGGAGGGGAGGGGAUGCAAAGACGAUGGAGGAACAGUCAAGAAACAAUGGUACAGGAGUUCCCGUGUGGCUCAGUGGUUAAUGAAUCCAACUAGGAACCAUGAGGUUGUGGGUUCGAUCCCUGGCCUCACUCAGUGGGUUAAAGAUCUGGCAUUGCUGUGAGAUGUGGUAUAGGUCGCAGAUACAGCUCAGAUCCCCCAUUGCUGUGACUCUGGCAUAGGCCAGCGGCUACAGCUCUGGUUGGACCCCUAGCCUGGGAACCUCCAUAUGCUGCGGGUGCGGCCCUAG